AUUGAACGCUGGCGGCAGGCCUAACACAUGCAAGUCGAGCGAGCGGCGGACGGGUGAGUAAUGUAUGGGGACUGCCCGAUAAAGGGGGAUAACUACUGGAAACGGUAGCUAAUACCGCAUACUAUCGGAUAACCCAUAUGGGGUUAGCUAGUAGGUGAGGUAAUGGCUCACCUAGGCUACGCUCCCUAGCUGGUCUGAGAGGAUGAUCAGCCAGACGGGGACUGAGACACGGCCCCGACCCCUACGGAGGCAGCAGUGGGGAAGAUUGCACAAGGGGCGCAAGCCUGAUGCAGCCAUGCCGAGUGUAUGAAGAAGGCCCUAGGGUUGUAAAGUACUUUCAGUCGGGAGGCGUUACCGACAGAAGAAGCACCGGCUAACUCCGUGCCAGCAGCCGCGGUAAGAC
Molecule: ribosomal RNA, 403 nt
Filed under: uncultured bacterium
Lineage: Bacteria
Description: partial 16S ribosomal RNA
Rfam family: Bacterial small subunit ribosomal RNA
Source: RNAcentral